GUACUUACCUGACAGUGGAGAUGUCAUAAUCAUAAAGAUGGUUUUCCCACAGUGAGGCUUAUCCAUUGCACUCCAGAUGUGCUGACCCCUUCUAUUUCCCCAAAUGUAGGAAACUCAACUGCAUAGC
RNAcentral lists this small nuclear RNA (127 nucleotides) under Sorex araneus (European shrew). Its description in RNAcentral is "U1 spliceosomal RNA (ENSSARG00000015116.1)". It matches the Rfam family "U1 spliceosomal RNA", at positions 1 to 128 of the family's 166-position model. Rfam says of the family: U1 is a small nuclear RNA (snRNA) component of the spliceosome (involved in pre-mRNA splicing). Lineage: Eukaryota; Metazoa; Chordata; Mammalia; Eulipotyphla; Soricidae. The record is from RNAcentral.